CUCUCCUUAGCUCAGUUGGAAGAGCGAUAGACUGUAAUCGUAUGUGUAGCUAUCUACAGGUCCUCGGUUCGAUCCCGAGAGGGGAGA
Non-coding RNA from Diaporthe citri, 87 nucleotides. The record is from the annotation of a RefSeq genome assembly. NCBI's taxonomy places the organism in Eukaryota, Fungi, Ascomycota, Sordariomycetes, Diaporthales, Diaporthaceae.